RNAcentral lists this microRNA (21 nucleotides) under Bombyx mori (domestic silkworm). Its description in RNAcentral is "bmo-miR-3204a-3p". Lineage: Eukaryota; Metazoa; Arthropoda; Insecta; Lepidoptera; Bombycidae. The record is from miRBase by way of RNAcentral.
UAUGGGAGUUUAUGACUUAGG